CCUACGGGUGGCAGCAGUGAGGAAUAUUGGUCAAUGGACGCAAGUCUGAACCAGCCACGCCGCGUGAAGGAUGAAUGCUCUACGGGUUGUAAACUUCUUUUAUACAGGAAUAAAGUGAGGUACGUGUGCCUUUUUGCACGUACUUUAUGAAUAAGGAUCGGCUAACUACGUGCCAGCAGCCGCGGUAAUACGGAGGAUCCGAGCGUUAUCCGGAUUUAUUGGGUUUAAAGGGAGCGUAGACGGGUUGUUAAGUUAGUUGUGAAAGUCCGCGGCUCAACCGGAAAAUUGCAAUUGAUACUGGCAGUCUUGAGUACAGUUGAGGUAGGCGGAAUUCGUGGUGUAGCGGUGAAAUGCUUAGAUAUCACGAAGAACACCGAUUGCGAAGGCAGCUUACUAAGCUGCCACUGACGUUGAGGCUCGAAAGCGUGGGGAGCAAACAGGAUUAGAUACCCCUGUAGUC
This 460-nucleotide ribosomal RNA is filed under the name uncultured bacterium. RNAcentral's name for it is "partial 16S ribosomal RNA". It matches the Rfam family "Bacterial small subunit ribosomal RNA", at positions 338 to 795 of the family's 1533-position model. The record is from RNAcentral.